This 74-nucleotide transfer RNA is filed under the name Lachnospiraceae bacterium. Its description in RNAcentral is "tRNA-Leu". It matches the Rfam family "tRNA". Rfam says of the family: Transfer RNA (tRNA) molecules are approximately 80 nucleotides in length. Their secondary structure includes four short double-helical elements and three loops (D, anti-codon, and T loops). Further hydrogen bonds mediate the characteristic L-shaped molecular structure. tRNAs have two regions of fundamental functional importance: the anti-codon, which is responsible for specific mRNA codon recognition, and the 3' end, to which the tRNAs corresponding amino acid is attached (by aminoacyl-tRNA synthetases). tRNAs cope with the degeneracy of the genetic code in two manners: having more than one tRNA (with a specific anti-codon) for a particular amino acid; and 'wobble' base-pairing, i.e. permitting non-standard base-pairing at the 3rd anti-codon position. The record is from RNAcentral. Lineage: Bacteria; Bacillati; Bacillota; Clostridia; Lachnospirales; Lachnospiraceae.
ACCCCUGUAGCAGAAUAGGCAUAUGCACGGGACUUAAGUUCCCGGAUAUGAGGGUUCGAGUCCCUCUAGGGGUA